RNAcentral lists this long non-coding RNA (1499 nucleotides) under Crocodylus porosus (Australian saltwater crocodile). Its description in RNAcentral is "lncRNA (ENSCPRG00005011448.1)". The record is from RNAcentral. Lineage: Eukaryota; Metazoa; Chordata; Crocodylia; Crocodylidae.
AAAUGACUUAGACAUCUACUUUCAGAAGAGGGUCCAUGGCUGUUAAUCCUGAGUGGAAUAGAUGCCUCCUUCAAACUAGAGGUAAGAGUUUCUUUUAAGGAGGCUGCCCAAAAGGAGAGAGUUUUUUUCAUAAGAGUUUUCUAUUAUAUUAUGGAGCUUGAUAUCUGCAUACCAGUUUUCCAAUGCCAUCUCACAAUUGCCAGCAGAAGAAGUUAAAGAAAAUGCCUAUCAAACGUUGCAAGUUGUUAUACAAAUCAUGGACUGUAACUGUGUUGCAUUAACUAGGGGGAAUGCCGUACUGGACUUGGUGUUGGCUACAGGGGAGGACCUGGUAGGGGAGCUGCAGAUCCAUGGUCACCUUGGGGACAGUGACCACCAAUCGAUUGAAUUCAACAUACAGCAUAAGGUGGGUAAGAUAACUAGUGGGGUGGAAGUGGUUGACUUUAGGAAGACUAACUUCAGUGUGCUUAGGAGUCUAGUCAACAACACUGCAGAAUAAGAGUAUUGGUGAGAUGGGAGUCCAGGAAGGGUACUUGUUUCUAAAGGAAGCAAUCCUUUGGGCACAGAGGGAGACUAUCCAAGUAUGAGGGAAGAGGGGGAAAUGAGCCAAAAAAUGUCCUUGGCUAAACAGGGAAAUCCAGGGGAGCCUAAGGGUAAAAAAGAAGGCAAAAAAAAAAGGCAUAUAGGUGGUGGAAGCAGGGGGAAGCUACCUAGGAGGAGUAUACCUACUUGGCCUGCACUUGCAGGGAGGUAGUUAGAAAAGCCAAAGUGACUACAGAGCUGAGGCUGGCAACAGAAAUUAAAGACAACAAAAAGGGUAUUUUUAGGUAUGUAGGAAGUAAAAGGAAGGUGCAGGGCAGCAUAGGACCCCUACUGAACAAGAAGGAGCAAUUAAUGACAGAAAGGGGGGGCAAGGUUUAGCUAUUCAAUGAUUUCUUUUCCUCAGUUUUCCUGAUCAGGGCUCAAGAUAAGUCUCCUAAUGGGUUCUUAGAUGGCCAUAAGAGGGACACCAUCCCACCAACUGUCAAUGCUGACUUGGUGCAGUGUCACUUGGAUGGACUGGAUGUGUUCAAGUCGGAAGCCCUGGAUAAGCUGCAUCCGAGGGUACUGAAGGGAUUAGCUGGUGUCAUAGCAGAACCACUGGCAGGGCUGUUUGAGUGCUUAUGGUGCCCGGGUCAGGUCCCAAAGGACUGGAAAGGGGCUAGCGUGGUCCCUAUUUUUAAGAAGGGGAGGAAGGAGGAUCCGAGUAGUUAUAGGACAGUCAUUUUCACCUCCAUCUUUGGAAAGGUCUUUGAAAAGAUUAUGAAGGAUCUUUUUUGUGGGAGUCCAGCAGAAAAAAUAAUGCAUUAGGGAAACCAGCAUGGAUUUGUAUCAGGUAGAUCAUGCCUGGCCAAUCUGGUUUUAUUUUAUGACAGGGUCACAAAAUGCUUAGAUGGAGAAGUAGAGGUGGUUGUCAUUUAUUAGACUUUAGCAAGAUCUUGAAUACAGUAUCUCAUCCU